AUUGAACGCUGGCGGCAGGCUUAACACAUGCAAGUCGAGCGAGCGGCGGACGGGUGAGUAAUGUCUGGGAAACUGCCUGAUGGAGGGGGAUAACUACUGGAAACGGUAGCUAAUACCGCAUACCAUCAGAGGUGCCCAGAUGGGAUUAGCUAGUAGGUGGGGUAAUGGCUCACCUAGGCGACGAUCCCUAGCUGGUCUGAGAGGAUGACCAGCCACACUGGAACGGAGACACGCUCCAGACUCCUACGGGAGGGAGCAGGGGGGAAUAUUGCAAAAUGGGCGAAAGCCUGAGGCAGCCAUGCCGCGUGUGAGAAGAAGGCCUUCGGGUUGUAAAGCACUUUCAGCGAGGAGGCGUUACUCGCAGAAGAAGCACCGGCUAACUCCGUGCCAGCAGCCGCGGGAUAC
RNAcentral lists this ribosomal RNA (405 nucleotides) under uncultured bacterium. RNAcentral's name for it is "partial 16S ribosomal RNA". It matches the Rfam family "Bacterial small subunit ribosomal RNA", at positions 29 to 526 of the family's 1533-position model. The record is from RNAcentral.